UCCGUAGGCGGCCUGGAAAGUUGGAUGUGAAAUCCCACAGCUUAACUGUGGAACUGCGUCCAAAACUAUCAGGCUUGAGGAUGGUAGGGGACAGUGGAACUCCAGGUGGAGCGGUGAAAUGCGUAGAGAUCUGGAGGAACACCGGUGGCGAAAGCGACUGUCUGGGCCAUUCCUGACGCUGAGGGACGAAAGCUAGGGGAGCAAACG
RNAcentral lists this ribosomal RNA (207 nucleotides) under uncultured bacterium. Its description in RNAcentral is "partial 16S ribosomal RNA". It matches the Rfam family "Bacterial small subunit ribosomal RNA", at positions 568 to 774 of the family's 1533-position model. The record is from RNAcentral.